RNAcentral lists this ribosomal RNA (467 nucleotides) under uncultured bacterium. RNAcentral's name for it is "partial 16S ribosomal RNA". It matches the Rfam family "Bacterial small subunit ribosomal RNA", at positions 28 to 506 of the family's 1533-position model. The record is from RNAcentral.
GACGAACGCUGGCGGCGUGCUUAACACAUGCAAGUCGAACGGUGAAAGAAGAGCUUGCUCUUCUGGAUCAGUGGCGAACGGGUGAGUAACACGUGAGUAACCUGCCCCAGACUUUGGGAUAAGCGCUGGAAACGGCGGCUAAUACCGGAUACGAGACAGAGCUGCAUGGCUACUGUCUGGAAGUUUCGUCGGUCGGGGAUGGACUCGCGGCCUAUCAGCUUGUUGGUGGGGUAACGGCUAACCAAGGCAACGACGGGUAGCCGGCCUGAGAGGGCGACCGGCAACACGGGGAUGGAGAAACGCCCCGGAUUCUUACGGGGGGAAGCGGUGGGGAAUAUUGCACAAGGGGCGAAGGCCGGAUGCAGCGCGCCGGCGUGGGGGAGGACGGCCUUCGGGUGGUAAACCUCUUUCAGCAGGGAAGAAGCGAAAGGGCCGGUACCGGUAGAAGAAGCACCGCCUAAUUCCGU